UUCAAUCGAUCUUUCUCUUCACUCCCCGUGUCCCAUUCUCUAUCUCCCGUCUCAAAUCUCUCAUCUCCCUCUCUGUAGUCUCUCUGCAUAAAUUUUGAAACCCUAUUGCUGCAGAUGGGUACAAGGAAGAUCUCCAAGAUGUAGAUCAAUGGAGAAUUAUUCAAUACCCUAAAGGCAACGCGUCAGGCAAGAGAUGGGUACAAGGAAGAUCUCCAAGAUGUAGAUCAAUGGAGAAUUUAUUCACCACCCUAAAGGCACCGCGUCAUGCAAGAGUCAAUCAUGGUGAAAAGUCAGAGAAGUUCUUAGGAAUUGAUUUUAAAAGAUGGCAGUAGAAAAUGCUAUCUUACUACUCUUAACCUGACACGUUUUCUCCGUGAGGAUGCACCUAUUCUGAAAAAGGAUGAAAUCGACCAGCAAGUGGUUACUGCGGUCGAUGCCUGAAAACAUAUUGAUUUCCUUUGCCGAAAUUACAUUUUGAACGGACUUGAUAACAUAUUGUACAACAUCUACAGUCUUAUCAAGAUGGCAAACGAACUUUGGGAGUCUUUGGAGAAAAAAUACAAGACAGAAGAUGCUGGCUCAAAGAAAUUUGUGGUUGGUGAAUUCUUGGACUUUGUGAUGGUUGAUUCUAAGACUGUGAUCAGCCAAGUUCAAGAUCUCCAACUUAUUUUGUAUGACAUUCAUGUAGAAGGCAUGUCUUUUAGUGAAUCCUUUCAAGUUGCUGUCUUAAUUGAAAAAUUAUCACAAGGCUAGAAGAAAUUCAAGAACUACUUCAAACACAAGCACAAGAAAUGACUCUAGAGGAAUUGACUGUGCAUUUGAGGAUUAAGAAGGACAACUGCAAUUCUGAGAAGCGGGUUGGUAAGCAUCCAAUGGAGUCUGAGGCUAAUGUGGUGGAACAUGCUCCAAAAACAAAGAAAUGAAAGUUUUCUAAAGAAAGUUUCUCACAAGGCUCUAAAGGGGGGGAAACUAAAAAGUACAAGUUUAAUGGCAAAUAUUACAUCUGUGAAAAAGAGGGACAUUGGGUUAAAGAUUGCCGUAACAAGCGCAAAGGCAAAGGAAGAUCAAACAAGAAGCCUGCUCAAGCCAAAAUGACCGAAGUUGAUAAAAUUUCCAAUGGUGUUGAGGACAUAAAUCUUUCUGCAAUUGUUCCCGCGGCAAACCUUGUCAGAAAUCCUAAAGAAUGAUGGGUGGACAUUGGUGUUACUUGCCACAUCUGUGUCGACAAAGAGAUGUUCACAUCUUUUUUCUGUAGUCGACAAUGGCGAACAACUUUUUAUGGGCAACUCCUCGACUUCUAAUGUUGAAGGACAAUGAAAGAUUAUUUUGAAGAUGACAUCUGAAAAUGAACUCACUCUCAACAAUGUGCUGCAUGUACCGGACAUUCACAAAAAUCUAGUCUCUGAAUCUCUGUUGAGUAAAAAUGGGUUUAGGUUAGUUUUUGAAAGAGACAAAUUUGUACUUACCAAAAACAGGAUGUAUAUAGGAAAAAGUUACAAGUCUGAUAGCCUUUUCAAAAUGAAUGUAAUGACUGUUGUACCCUCUAUUAUUAAUAA
This is a long non-coding RNA of Camellia sinensis, 1556 nucleotides long. RefSeq lists it as uncharacterized. NCBI's taxonomy places the organism in Eukaryota, Viridiplantae, Streptophyta, Magnoliopsida, Ericales, Theaceae. The record is from RefSeq and is a predicted model, not a curated record.